RNAcentral lists this ribosomal RNA (253 nucleotides) under uncultured bacterium. RNAcentral describes it as "partial 16S ribosomal RNA". It matches the Rfam family "Bacterial small subunit ribosomal RNA", at positions 524 to 776 of the family's 1533-position model. The record is from RNAcentral.
UACGUAGGGGGCAAGCGUUGUCCGGAAUUAUUGGGCGUAAAGAGCGUGUAGGCGGUCCGGUAAGUCGGCUGUGAAAGCCCAGGGCUCAACCCUGGGAUGCCGGUCGAUACUGCCGGACUAGAGUUCGGAAGAGGCGAGUGGAAUUCCCGGUGUAGCGGUGAAAUGCGUAGAUAUCGUUUGGAACGCCAAUGGUGAAAGCAGGUAGCUGGGGAUGUGCCGACGCUGAGACACGAAAGCCAGGGGAGCGAACGGG